Non-coding RNA from Cinara cedri, 754 nucleotides. The record is from the annotation of a GenBank genome assembly. NCBI's taxonomy places the organism in Eukaryota, Metazoa, Arthropoda, Insecta, Hemiptera, Aphididae.
UAAUAAUAAGCCCUCGUAUGUCCGUUUUUAAUGCGUUUUUAAUGAAACUUCGUAGUCGCCGUCGUCGUCUCACCUUCGCCUUAUAGUCGCCUUAUAUAUACAUAGUCAAGGACAUUAUUUUACUCUCCGCAUUAUCCGAUCCCGGCCCCGGAAAAACAUUUCUGUCGUUUCCUAUCGUCGUCGUCGCGUGCACAAACAAUACGCGACCGGAAAAACCGAGCUACAGUUUUGAAAAAACAAAAUCUUGGUCAAACCCGAAGAGAGGACCGUCGAUUGAUAAAGAAGAAGCUGAUGGAUAAAACGGGCUAAACAAGACUCCUUAGAAAGACCCAGAACUCGGUGGAUUGAUGUAAUUGACAGAGAUCUGAGAGCGAUUCAUAUAGCAAUUCAUAUCGUAAUAAUAUAUAACAUUUGAUUUGACUUACAAUGUAGAGAGGUAAUUAAUGUAUCAGUGGACCUUUACGGACUGGUAAAUUGAUACCACGACGACGAUAAAAUCUUCGGUACACGGUCAAAUGAGCGAUUACGUUAAAUUUAUUUCUGCAUUUAUUUACACGACAUUUUGAGAUUGUUCGUGUUAUUUUUUUCAUUCUAAUAAAUUUAAUUUUUGUUUCUAUUUAAUACGUUUGGUAAAAAUAUAUUUAACCUCACUUUUGUAUUUUUUGAGUAAAUUAUUAAUUUUAAUGGAGUUCGAUUUAAUAGUGGACUUAAAUCAAUAUUUAUCGGUUUCAUUAAAUUGGGUUUACGUUAACUC